Molecule: small RNA, 27 nt
Filed under: Bombyx mori (domestic silkworm)
Lineage: Eukaryota; Metazoa; Arthropoda; Insecta; Lepidoptera; Bombycidae
Description: ovarian small RNA-5583
Source: RNAcentral
UAAAGAUUACGAGUUAGCCUCCGGAUG